Molecule: long non-coding RNA, 5977 nt
Filed under: Brachypodium distachyon (stiff brome)
Lineage: Eukaryota; Viridiplantae; Streptophyta; Magnoliopsida; Poales; Poaceae
Description: long non-coding RNA (BDIS_LNC001493)
Source: RNAcentral
GAAGCUGGGAUUUCGCCCUUUGGCGGCGCCAGGACUCGCCGUCCGCGUUGAAGAUGCCGUUGCCGAAGACGUCGAAGAUCUCCGCGAACUCGUCGCCUUUCGGGUAGUUUGCGAAGUUUGAGGUGAAGAUGUGGCGCACGUUGGCCGGGUCGCAGGUGACGAAGAACCGGACGCCGGUGACCCCGGCACGGGCCUCGAAGUUGUAGCGCGUGCCGGCCAGGAUGCCCGUGGCCCAGUCGUGGAAGUCGUUCUUGUGGGCGAUCAUGCCGAAGAGAUGGCCCAGUACCGGCCAUUCCGUUGGCUCCCUCUUGCUGAUUUUCUUGGAUUGGAGGUGGCGGUAGUAGAAGAUGAAGCAGCAGAGGAGGGAGAGCAGCUCCACGAGCCAGUAUAGGGGAUCCAUGGCUAACUUUUGGAAAGGAUGCAGGAUUACCAGUGCAAGACUACGGGCUCCUUAUAUGCAACGCACUCUCGCAUGCAUGCGUGACCGGUUGAUAUAUGUGUGCUCAUAGGUAGGUGAGGCGUCUCACGUCAGUUUACAGUAAGAUGAUUAGGGUGGGUCAUUCAUGGUCAGGCCAUCAAUCCGAUUUUUAUCUAAUUUUCUGCCACAAGACUUUGGUUUCUUAAUUGUUUUCAAUUGAAAUGGUAUGAUGUGUGCUCUUACACGUAUAUAUCUAAUACGGGGUGUGAUCGAGAAUCGGAUGGUCCAUAUGUUUUCUUUAUCAUGCAUGGGAACUGUGUGUGGUCUAUGUUUUUGGAGCAGGAUCUGCUAAAUUAUCCCACGUUUAUUUCUCAUCCUGUAGCUUGUAACACACCAUUAUUGAGCAAUAAUGUUCCCGCCUUCGUCGUAAAAAAUAUUCAUGUUGAACAUCGGUUGAUAAUUUUGGCACUCUGCUCCUUUUUAUCUUCUUCCUCCAUUCGACUGAAACAAGUGAACAAUUGCAGUUGAGUAGAUAGUGAGAGGAAAAGUGAACUAAAACCAGCGCAAAAUAGAGAAAAAUUAUACUACUAAAAAUCAAGGCAGAUGGGUGUAGAAACUAAUUAAUAUAAAGGUGCAGUAGAAAGUAGUGAAAAAUUGUAGUCAGCAAAGUACAGGUACUCCCUCCGAUCCUAAAUUAUUGUGAGAAAACGUAGAACAUACUGCAAAGGUGUUGCGGAAACUAGUGGAAAAUUGUAGUUGAAAUAGUGAAAUGAAAACCAUUACAAAUGUGUAGUAAAGAAAAUCGGUGUCAAAAUGGCGGUGUUUGGCUCAAGAAAUAUUUUCUAGCGAGGGGAAAAUAGAUCUUAUCGCACCAGGGAAACUAAGAAAAAUUGCGGGCGUGCCAGUGUACUGUGUACACAAGAAAAAGGGGAGGAAUCGUAUAUUUUAUUAAUCUGUUUGAGAUUACAAAAUACAAUUCCUCGUGCGCUCCGUGGCCUGCUUGCACGGCUUGAUUGACAAGGCGAUUGUGGUCAUCUCCUGGUUCACGGGGCCUCGGAAGGCUCCCACUUAAUUACUCCCGCGGGGUUAAACCCGCGAGAAACCUCCGAUUAAGUUGUUGUGGUCGUCUUCAUGUCUUCGCUUCGCGUCACCUAUGCAUGUGUGGGUGGUGAUGGUGUGGGUGCCGACAGAACCCGUGUACAAGACAGUACACGCGCCGUUGAGCGUGGCCUUAACCGUGGCCACGCCCACCCUGUCGCCGAGCAUCGUCGGUCUCGACGACCUAAAAGUGGAGUUGGUGUAGACGCAUGAUGCCGCUUGGCUCGGACAUGCCCACAAUUCGGCAGCUUCGUCGGGGACGCGGGGAGUCCAUCCCGCGGGAGUGAUUAAUUGGAGAAGACCUGCAGGCCGGCGGGCGCCUCCCGCCGACAUGAACAACCUGCUGCUGAUGACGAUAGCGUUCGAGUGACCGCCUCUCGUGCUGCAGCAACCUGUACGUCGGCUCGACAUGUUCAUCAAGGUAAUGCUCCGCGUGGAGCGGCCACUGUGUAGACGUCGCCCACGUCCGCACCGUCGCGCAUGGUGGCGCUCGGGCGGACGUCGGCGGGUUGUCGAUGAAGACGGCGCCCCGCGUCGCGCGGGCGCCAUAACACGGCGAUCCUCUUGUACCUGGCAUCGACGGCGGCGCGCGAUGACCAUCAUGAUCACUUUGAAAAGCGACCAAGGACAUCAGGUCGCCAAACUCCGUAGAUGGCUGAGCAGGGCGACAGUGCUCGGGCUCUAUAGCACCAUUACCAUGCUAGAUGCAAGAGAGGAUCGAGCCGAGGAUAGGGGUAGGAGUAGAUUAAUACUCACCGUAGUCGUUACCUGAAGCCAUGGAAUUGAUGUUGAUGAAACUUGACGAACCUUUACGUCUCAGCUUCUCGCCGGCGUCCGGCCGUACGUGGUGUUGUCACCGGAUGGCCGAGCGCUAGCAGUCUUCGCCUGUUCGUCGGAUCUACCAGCGCCUCCUCUCCGUCCCUGACUUUUCUGCUCAGAAAAAAGCCCCUUGUGCCGUGUGUCGUGCGCCUUAUAUAUAGGCAGGCUGCGGACGUACCUGGCCGCUGGCCGUUGCGAUGCGCUCGGAUACUUCGGACGCAAGUUACGCUGGACGUUCUUUUCUCCUCCGCCCGCACACGCGAUCUUCCCUGUUGUGUUUACUCUCCCAGAGUUUUACGCGUCGACGUACGUGAUCCCCGCUGUCAGGCGGUUCAGCCCGACUCGAACGAACAAGAGGACUCUUAUUUGAUUAGCUGGUUAGCUCUCCGGCUGAACUCGAGCGCACGCGCCUGCUGCCUUGCAGCCUGCCACCCAGUGCACGUACGUGCAUGUACACGCUGCUGCAUGUGUCUUAUUCCCAGUUUUUUUUUCUUCUUUUUCUUAAUAUCCAGAUCAAGUAUUGAGCUUGUAAAAAAUAUCAUCAAACAGGCGGCUAGAAAAUGAUCCCGAUGAUUGGGGAAGGUAGCUAUUUUUAACUAUGUUAACAUCAAGUCUUAGGAUAAGAAAAUACUAAAAGUAGUACGAGUAGUAUUGAAUGUUCUGACACAUAAAAAUACUGGAGUACUAUGUUUCCAAGACAAACAUUCAAUAUAUUUCUUUUUUUUUGACGCAAUACUUCGUACUUGUUGUCAACCAUCAACACAUGUGUUGUUUCAAGAAAAAAAAGAUAUAUACGUCGGCUCUUAUCAAUAUGUCAAACUUCGCAGAACCUUUGGUUCGAUCGUCAAAUCCAGUAAGUAAGCAAGCAACUGGUGACACGAAAUGUAAAAAAAUUAAAAUAGAAUAAAAAUAUGUGGCCCGAUACCUCCUUCUAGGCCGUAGCGGGCAGUAUGCCGUCACGGGCCGGGCAUGGUAGAAGCAUACGAGACCAAAAGGAAAUACCCCCAGAGAAGGCCCCAAGCUGCCAAGGCCCAGACACGAGACCAAAAGGAAAUACCCACAAAGAAGUCUCCGUCACGCUGUGAGGCAAUAAUUGGCACCGUGCCGUAGAGCGAGCGCCGCUACUUAAUGAAAGAUUUUGGAGGGAUGGAACUCGUGUCUGAAUUGAAUUCAAGUAAUCAAGCCAGACUGCUCCUGAUGCAGAGUGCGAUAUGCGCGCAGCAAUCAAACAGGGCCACCCGUGUACGUCGUCCACGGGCGCGCGCCUCAAUAAUGAGAAGCAUCGCGAUCCGGCUGUACGUACUGCAGGGACACACGGUUUAGUUGAGCCACACACACUUUGCUGCCCAUGCCGUGCUAGCGAAGCCUCACGCACCACGUGCCACGAUUCACUUGCUCGACACGCACACGCGCGCGGGAAUGACCGAUUCUUUUGCGCGGAGGAGAUGGAUCUGGCCGGGGCUCUCUGCCAGGACAGGACAGAACGGCCCCGGGGAUUGGGGAUUGCACCGCACGUAGGGCCUUGUAGCUAGCCACUGCACGAGUGCGACGCGGUCAGUACGUGCCCAUCUUUCCACUGGAGCGCCCCGAGACUCGCUCUGUCCUUGCCGGACUGUUUGGGAGUAGUUCGGGACAUGCCUUUCGUCUUUCCGGACGGUCCCCGGGGAAUCAUCAUGGAGCCAAUCUUGACUCCGUCUCGAGAUCGCUAGACGUUCUUUCGCUGCCAACGUGAUCGAAAGCGAUCCUAAGCUUCAGGACUCCAUGUCUGCCUCGAAAAGGAGAUCGAACCCUCUUUCAAAAGAAAAAAAAAAGAUCCAAGUGGCUCGUAAGGGCACGUCCGGUGCGUACGAGAAAAUAUCAGGCGAUUUCAACGUCCCAAAACAAGUGACGUCUGUGACGGAGGAAGUAUGUUCUUUCUGUAAGAUUAUUAUUUUCGCUACAAGGAGGAAUGUACGCGCACAUGUUACUCGAGGACGAACUCUAUCACCGAGCCGCUGCAUGCUCGGUUGUAAAGAAUUUUUGGAUUUAAUAACCCUUUAGACUGAAGAAAUGUUCUGACGUGCCUGCAUGAGAUUGGAAUAUUUUGCUCCAACUCUUUAUUGCUGCAACGCGCUUGGAAAGGGGGAGGCUCGUUUUUGGGGGACAAGAGUACAGAGUGCUCGAGUAAGCACAGACUGCGAGUUACGACCGGCAAUACAGACAUCACCGCUAGCUAGUAGUAGUGGAUUAAUUUCAAUCAAUUCCUAAGCACCUAGCUGCCUCCUCUUAAUCCUGGCCAUGAAUCCGUUCUUCAUGUGGAGUAUGAUGGACACCUUGGGCUCGAAGACAUGCCCGGGCACGGCCUGGACGUCGAAGUUCCACACCACGGCGGCCGCCACGGCCUUGAGCUGCACGAACGCCAUGUCCUUGCCGAGACAAGUCCUGGGCCCUGAGUUGAAUGCCAGGAACUUGUAGGACGGCACGUGCCGCAGCCUGCUGCUGGCCGAUUCGUCUUCGUCCACCCACCGCUCCGGCAAAAACUCCUUGCAGUCGGCGCCCCACACGGCGUCCAUCCUCCCCAUGGCGUAGAGCGACACCAUGAUCUUGUCCCCCGGCUUCACCUCGUGCCCGCUCGGCAGCGUCUCCGCGGACACCACGCCCUUGUGCUCCAUCGGCAACGGCGGGUACAGCCGCAGCGACUCGCACAGCGCCGCGUGGAGGUACGCCAGCUUGCCCAGAUCCUCCGGGUCGAAGCUCGCCAUGCCGUUAAUGGCGUUGGCGCCGCUGGUGGGCUUGACGGUCUCGAGCUCUGCCAGGAUCUUGGACACCACGCGUGGGUUCUUGGUGAGGAGGUAGAAGAACCAGGAGAGCGCGGAGCCCGUGGUGUCGCGGCCGGCCAGCAUCAGGUUCAUGGUCGUGUCCCGGAGGAACGCGUCCAUGACAGCGUCUUUCUCCUCGUUGUCGUCGUCGAUGUAGGAGGACAGCAGGUCGGCGCCGCCUGCAGCAGUUCUGGCUAAUUUCACGGCUUCCCUUCGCUUGGCAACGGUGUCGGCAAUGAAGGCGUCAAUGUCGCGCCAGGCGGCGGCCAUCUUGCGCUCGUAGCCGACACGGAGCCGCCUGACGAGCUUCCACCACGACAGCGGGAGCACGUUGCGGACCAGGAGCACGUCCAUGGCGUCGUCCAUGGCGCGCGCGAACGGCACCUCGGGCAACCCGAUCUCCAAGCAUCCCGGGUCGACCCCGAACACGAGCUUCGUCGUCGUGUCGAACGUCAGCCUCAGGAACACGUCCUGAAGGUCACACUCACACGCCUUCGUCUUCCCGGCUGCGACAUGAUCCAGCAGCGGGAGCAGGGCGUUCUCGACCUUGCCGCGGACGAACGUGGCCACGAAGCGCUUGAACCUCGGGGUCGACAUGAGAAGCUGCGCCUUGGCCCGCUGCAUGCGCCAGGAGUCGCCAUCGGCGUUGAAGAUGCCGCCGCCGAGGAUGUCCAUGAUCUCGGCGAACUCGGGGCCUUUCGGGUAGUUGCUGAAGUUGGAGGUGAAGACGUGGCGCACGUUGGCCGGGUCGGCCGUGAGCAGGAACUGCAUCCGGGAGCGCGGCGGGCCCGUGAAGCGGAAGCUCAGCGGGCUGGCCACGAGCACGGAGGUCACCCAGUCGUGG